This 464-nucleotide ribosomal RNA is filed under the name uncultured bacterium. RNAcentral describes it as "partial 16S ribosomal RNA". It matches the Rfam family "Bacterial small subunit ribosomal RNA", at positions 28 to 507 of the family's 1533-position model. The record is from RNAcentral.
GACGAACGCUGGCGGCGUGCCUAACACAUGCAAGUCGAGCGAAUGAAGUUCCUUCGGGACUGGAUUUAGCGGCGGACGGGUGAGUAACACGUGGGCAACCUGCCUCAUAGAGGGGAAUAGCCUCCCGAAAGGGAGAUUAAUACCGCAUAAGAUUGUAGUACCGCAUGAUACAGCAAUUAAAGGAGCAAUCCGCUAUGAGAUGGGCCCGCGGCGCAUUAGCUAGUAGGUGAGGUAAUGGCUCACCAAGGCGACGAUGCGUAGCCGACCUGAGAGGGUGAUCGGCCACAUUGGGACUGAGACACGGCCCAGACUCCUACGGGAGGCAGCAGUGGGGAAUAUUGCACAAUGGGGGAAACCCUGAUGCAGCAACGCCGCGUGAGUGAUGACGGCCUUCGGGUUGUAAAGCUCUGUCUUCAGGGACGAUAAUGACGGUACCUGAGGAGGAAGCCACGGCUAACUACGUG